Molecule: unclassified non-coding RNA, 493 nt
Filed under: Rhodotorula sp. JSKim-2015
Lineage: Eukaryota; Fungi; Basidiomycota; Microbotryomycetes; Sporidiobolales; Sporidiobolaceae
Description: partial contains 18S rRNA, ITS1, 5.8S rRNA, and ITS2
Rfam family: 5.8S ribosomal RNA (bases 157-310)
Source: RNAcentral
CAGCGGAAGGAUCAUUACUGAUUUGCUUAAUUGCACCACAUGUGUUUUUUAUUGAACAAAUUUCUUUGGUGGCGGGAGCAAUCCUACCGCCAGAGGUUAUAACUAAACCAAACUUUUUAUUUACAGUCAAACUUGAUUUAUUAUUACAAUAGUCAAAACUUUCAACAACGGAUCUCUUGGUUCUCGCAUCGAUGAAGAACGCAGCGAAAUGCGAUACGUAAUAUGAAUUGCAGAUAUUCGUGAAUCAUCGAAUCUUUGAACGCACAUUGCGCCCUUUGGUAUUCCAAAGGGCAUGCCUGUUUGAGCGUCAUUUCUCCCUCAAACCCCCGGGUUUGGUGUUGAGCAAUACGCUAGGUUUGUUUGAAAGAAUUUAACGUGGAAACUUAUUUUAAGCGACUUAGGUUUAUCCAAAAACGCUUAUUUUGCUAGUGGCCACCACAAUUUAUUUCAUAACUUUGACCUCAAAUCAGGUAGGACUACCCGCUGAACUUAA